Long non-coding RNA from Oncorhynchus tshawytscha (Chinook salmon), 2541 nucleotides. The record is from Ensembl. NCBI's taxonomy places the organism in Eukaryota, Metazoa, Chordata, Actinopteri, Salmoniformes, Salmonidae.
GUUUAUUGUAAAGGUUGGCACGCUUCCAGCUGGUUUGAACCGGGUUUUGUUUCAUUUACUCGUGCUUUGUGGCAGCCGGUACUUUAUACUUGGGUUUUUGUACUUUGUGCCACCUCACUUGUUCGUUGGGCAUUUGUUUUGUGACGCGGUUGCGUUCUGCGAAAAUGAUUGCCUCAGUAAAGGUCUUUGUCCACUCACCUCUGCUCUCCUGCGCCUGACUUUCAUGCACCAGCUACACCCACCGCAUGACAGAAUUUCACACCCACAAUAUGGAGUCAGCAGGAGCAGGUGCCCCUGGUAUAGGGGGUCGAGGAGCUGGUUUGCAUCGGUCGGACGGUGCGCUGUCUGAGUGGGAAGUACUGGUGUCCCAUUUUAGCUAAGGAUGUGAUGAUUUAUGUUUCCUCCUGCUAGGUGUGCGCCCAGUGUAAGGCUCCUAGGCACCUGCCCAGAAGUAAAUUACACCCCUUACCCGUUGCACCUGUCGUGGAUUUCCUUACCGAUAUUCCUCCCUGACAGGGUAACACCACGAUCCUGGUCGUUGUGGACCGGUUUUCUAAGUUCUGCCGUCUCCUCCCUCUGCCUGGUCUCCCUACGGCCCUACAGACUGCGGAGGGCUUGUUUACACACGUCUUCCGGUACUAUGAGGUGCCUGAGGAUAUAGUGUCUGAUCGGGGUCCCCAGUUCACUGUCGAGGGUCUGGAAGGCAUUCAUGGAACGUCUGGGGGUCUCGGUCAGCCUUACUUCGGGUUUCCACCCCGAGAGUAACGGGCAGGUGGAGAGAGUUAACCAGGAUGUGGGUAGCUUUCUGCAGUCUUAUUGCCAGGACCGGCCGGGGGAUUGGGUGAAGUUUGUACCCUGGGCAGAGAUGGCCCAGAACUCGCUACGUCACUCCUCCACUAACCGUUCUCCCUUUCAAUGUGUAUUAGGGUAUCAGCCGGUUCUGGCUCCUUGGCAUCAGAGUCAGACCGAGGCUACUGCGGUGGACAAUUUGUUCCAGCGCGCGUAGGAAACCUGGGAGGCCGCCCACGUCCACCUUCAGCGCGCCAUUCUGCACCAGAAAGUUGGCGAAGACCGUCACCGCACUGAGGCCCCGGUGUUCGCACCAAGGGACAGGGUCUGUCUCUCGACCCGAAACCUGCCCCUCCGCCUGCCCUGCCGGAAGCCGGGUCCGCGGUUUGUGAGGCCGUUUUAAGUCCUGAGGAUGCCCUCAAUGUCCGCGUCCAGCUCCCACACUACCGGUGCCACCAAACCAGAAGCUGGGAGUAUGGGAGUGGGAUCCAUGGACCGCUCCUCUGUGUCAUACAGCCGGGACAAUGCGUCUGCCUUAACGUUCUGGGAGCCUGGCCUGUAAGAGAGGAUAAACACAAAACGAGUGAAAAACAUGGCCCACCUUGCCUGGCGAGGGUUCAGUUUCCUCACCUCCCGGAUGUACUCCAGAUUGCGAUGGUCAGUCCAGAUGAGAAAAGGGUGUUUAGCCCCCUCAAGCCAAUGUCUCCUUGCCAUCAAGGCUUUGACAACAGCUAACAGCUCCCGGUCCCCCACAUCAUAGUUUCGCUCCGCCGGGUUGAGCUUCUUCGAAAUGAAGGCACAGGGGCGGCGCUUCAGUGGCAUACCCGAGCGCUGAGAGAGCACUGCUCCUAUCCCAGCUUUGGAUGCAUCCACCUCCACUAUGAAUGUCAAAAAGGGUUCCGGAUGAGCCAACACAGGAGGGUGGGCUGUCCCUGUAACCACAGGGUUGUCGGUUCAAACCCAGGGUUGGCGGAACCCCCUUCAGUCGCUACAUGAACGUUAUGAAAAAGGUGGAAUAAGAUCAAAAGGACAAAAUUAUUUGCUGUGUUCUGUGCAGAGCCAGUGUGUCACGACUUCUACCGAAGCAUCUCCUUGUUCUGGCGGUGCUCGGCGGUCGACGUCACCAGUCUUCUAGCCAUCAUUGAUCCAUUUUUCAUUUUCCAUUGGUUUUGUCUUGUCUUCCUACACCUGGUUUCAAUCCCAUUCAUUACCUGUUGUGUAUCUGUUUCCCCUCAUGUCUUUGUCAGAGAUUGUUUGUUAUUCAGUGUUGUGUUGGUUUUUGUAUUGGUGUGAGACGGGUCCUCGUACCCACUUUAUUUAAUGUUACAUUUAGUGUUUGGAGUAUGUUUCGUUUAUUUGUUAUUUAAUACUCAGUUUGAUUCUCCUGCGCCUGACUUCCCUGCCACCUAUACACAUGACUGACACAGUGGUCUAGUGGUAAUGCUCCCUGACUUUAUGCUUAAACUACUGUCCACAGGAAACCAGGGUUCAAUCUAUGGAGCCACCCUUCCUAAUGGUCUCCCAUUACCAACUGUCUAGAAAAUGCAACAACAACAAAAAUAAUCUGGAUGAGGGAAUCAAUUCAGAGGUGUUGGGAAUCAAUUCAGAGGUGUUGGGAAUCAAUUCAGAGGUGUUGGGAAUCAAUUCAGAGGUGUUGGGAAUCAAUUCAGAGGUGUUGGGAAUCAAUUCAGAGGUGUUGGGAAUCAAUUCAGAGGUGUUGAGAAUCAAUUCAGAGGUGUUGAGAGAACUUUU